Molecule: ribosomal RNA, 774 nt
Filed under: uncultured Neocallimastigales
Lineage: Eukaryota; Fungi; Neocallimastigomycota; Neocallimastigomycetes; Neocallimastigales
Description: partial large subunit ribosomal RNA
Rfam family: Eukaryotic large subunit ribosomal RNA
Source: RNAcentral
GUACACGCUGUGACUAGCAUAUCAAUAAGCGGAGGAAAAGAAACUAACAAGGAUUCCCCUAGUAACGGCGAGUGAAGCGGGAAGAGCUCAAAUUUGAAAUCUUAAAGGGUUUCCCUUUACGAAUUGUAGUUUAAAGAAGUGUUUUCUGUUGAGGUUUUGGUAAAAGUUCUUUGGAAUAGGACAUCAUAGAGGGUGAGAAUCCCGUAUUUGACCUUUACUUUCAACUUUGUGAUACACUUUCGAAGAGUCGGAUUGUUUGGGAAUGCAGUCCAAAAUGAGUGGUAAAUUUCAUCUAAAGCUAAAUAUUGGCGAGAGACCGAUAGCGAACAAGUAUCGUGAGGGAAAGAUGAAAAGAACUUUGAAAAGAGAGUUAAACAGUACGUGAAAUUGUCAAAAGGGAAGCGUUUGACACCAGUGUUGUUUUUCUGAAAAUCAAUUAAAGAACUGUUUAUGCUAAGCUGUUUAGACUUUAUCAGCUAACUGUUUAGUUUUGAGCUUUUCUUUAAUGCACUUUUCAGUUAACAAGUCAACAUCAAUUUCUUUUGCUGUAAAAAAGCUUGAGGAAGGUGGCUUGAGAUUCGUCUUAAGUGUUUAUAGCCUCUUGCCUAUGCAGUCGGAGAGAUUGAGGUCUGCAGCGUAGAUCCUUCGGGGCUAAAUGCAUUUGUGCUAAGUUAUAGCAUUUUAUAGACAACUUGUUGACUAUGAUUUGUCUUGUAGCUUACUCGCUUAUGUUAUUUUACCUACGCUUAGGAUGUUGAUAUGCAUGACUGAUAU